Non-coding RNA from Acanthopagrus latus (yellowfin seabream), 601 nucleotides. The record is from the annotation of a RefSeq genome assembly. Lineage: Eukaryota; Metazoa; Chordata; Actinopteri; Spariformes; Sparidae.
GGAAUCAUCAGCAUACAUGCAUGGAUAGUGAUGAAAACAGCAGCAGAAACAAGACUGAGUUUAAAAUUCAGUCAGAAAACGCAACAUGUUGAUCACCGUCUGCUGCAUCACCUUGAAUUUUAUCAUGGUUUCAGGUUCCUCUCUAAGUGACCAGAUCAGACAGAUUCCAGACCAGAUGUUCUACAAACCUCAAGAAACAGCCAAAAUAACCUGUUCCCACAGUAUUCAAGACUAUGAUAGAAUCCUCUGGUACAAGCAGACAAAGAGACAACUAGAAUUCCUGGGAUACAUGCUUGGAGACAGUGGAUCUCCUGAGAAAACUGGAGUGGAAGAGACUGUGAAGAUAGAAGGGAAUGCAAACAAAGACAAGAACUGCACAUUAACAAUUGAAGGACUCAAACUGAGCAGCAGUGCAGUUUACUUCUGUGCUGCUAGUUAACACAGUGCUACAUAUCACUGAUCCUCUGUACAAAAACCUCCCAGUCACAUGACACCACCCACCUCAAGCCUUCAUGUUGGUUUGCUGAUAGGAGGGUCUACUCACAGAGGAGGCUGGAAAUAAUCAGUAUAACUACUGACAGACUGACAAUACCUUUCAUAU